AGACGUCUACAUUAGAUACCCGUGUAGUCCCAGCCCUAAACGAUGCGCGUUAGGUGUAUCGGUGACCACGAGUCACCGAGGUGCCGAAGGGAAACCGUGAAACGUGCCGCCUGGGAAGUACGGUCGCAAGGCUGAAACUUAAAGGAAUUGGCGGGGAGCACCACAAGAGGUGGAGGCUGCGGUUCAAUUGGACUCAACGCCGGAAACUCAUCGGGAGCGACAGCAGUAUGAUUGCCAGGUUGAUGACCUUGCUUGACAAGCUG
Molecule: ribosomal RNA, 263 nt
Filed under: uncultured archaeon
Lineage: Archaea
Description: partial 16S ribosomal RNA
Rfam family: Archaeal small subunit ribosomal RNA
Source: RNAcentral